Molecule: transfer RNA, 72 nt
Filed under: bacterium AB1
Lineage: Bacteria
Description: tRNA-Glu
Rfam family: tRNA
About the family: Transfer RNA (tRNA) molecules are approximately 80 nucleotides in length. Their secondary structure includes four short double-helical elements and three loops (D, anti-codon, and T loops).
Source: RNAcentral
GCCCAUAUCGUCUAGUGGUUAGGACCUCGCGCUUUCAAUGCGGCAACGGGGGUUCAAUUCCCCCUAUGGGUA